GGAUUCCCCUAGUAACUGCGAGUGAAGCGGGAAAAGCUCAAAUUUAAAAUCUGGCAGUCUCUGGCUGUCCGAGUUGUAAUCUAGAGAAGUAAUGCCCGUGCUGGACCGUGUAUAAGUCUCCUGGGAUGGGGCGUCAUAGAGGGUGAGAAUCCCGUCUUUGACACGGACUACCAGUGCAUUGUGGUAUGCUCUCAAAGAGUCGAGUUGUUUGGGAAUGCAGCUCAAAAUGGGUGGUAAAUUCCAUCUAAAGCUAAAUAUUGGCGAGAGACCGAUAGCGAACAAGUACCGUGAGGGAAAGAUGAAAAGAACUUUGGAAAGAGAGUUAAACAGUACGUGAAAUUGCUGAAAGGGAAACGCUUGAAGUCAGUCGCGUUGGCCGGGAAUCAGCCUUGCUUUUGCAUGGUGUACUUUCUGGUUGACGGGUCAGCAUCAAUUUCGAUCGCUGGAAAAAGGCCUGGGGAAUGUGGCAGCUUCGGCUGUGUUAUAGCCCCUAGUCGCAUACAGUGGUUGGGAUUGAGGAACUCAGCACGCCGCAAGGCCGGGUUUCGACCACGUUCGUGCUUAGGAUGCUGGCAUAAUGGCUUUAAGCGACCCGUCUUGAAACACGGACCAAGGAGUCUAACAUGCCUGCGAGUAUUUGGGUGGAAAACUCAAGUGCGUAAUGAAAGUGAAAGUUGAGAUCCCUGUCGUGGGGAGCAUCGACGCCCGGACCAGAACUUUUGGGACGGAUCCGCGGUGGAGCAUGUAUGUUGGGACCCGAAAGAUGGUGAACUAUGCCUGAAUAGGGUGAAGCCAGAGGAAACUCUGGUGGAGGCUCGUAGCGAUUCUGACGUGCAAAUCGAUCGUCAAAUUUGGGUAUAGGGGCGAAAGACUAAUCGAU
RNAcentral lists this ribosomal RNA (880 nucleotides) under Agaricus purpurellus. RNAcentral's name for it is "eukaryotic LSU rRNA". It matches the Rfam family "Eukaryotic large subunit ribosomal RNA", at positions 72 to 939 of the family's 3401-position model. Lineage: Eukaryota; Fungi; Basidiomycota; Agaricomycetes; Agaricales; Agaricaceae. The record is from RNAcentral.